This 294-nucleotide unclassified non-coding RNA is filed under the name Hevea brasiliensis (rubber tree). Lineage: Eukaryota; Viridiplantae; Streptophyta; Magnoliopsida; Malpighiales; Euphorbiaceae. The record is from RNAcentral.
GUUCACAGUAAAAGUUCUUGCAAAAUAUCAAUCCUCAUCUCAGAUCAUGUAACUCUUGAAAUAGAGUGUCUGUGAUGCAGACCAUCCCCAAUCCCCAAGAAAGUUUAAGGCAAAAAUAAUAAAUAAAGAAAAAUCAAAGAAAAUCAAACAAAUAUAUGGGCCUGAACACACGUAUCCUUCAUAUUUUAAGGGUGGGAUUGCCCAAGAUGAUUCUUAUUCUCCUAGCCCUUAACCUCCUCACUAAGGGACUUUGGAAAGCAAUGGAAGUAACUGUGCCAUAUAGGCAACAUUCUU